RNA transcript from Coregonus clupeaformis (lake whitefish), 1717 nucleotides. It is a transcript of the gene named DNA replication complex GINS protein PSF3-like, with no coding region annotated. The record is from RefSeq and is a predicted model, not a curated record. The transcript is spliced from 2 exons. NCBI's taxonomy places the organism in Eukaryota, Metazoa, Chordata, Actinopteri, Salmoniformes, Salmonidae.
GCUCCAGGAAGAUGGUUGGGCAGCCCUGCCCUAGAGCCACUCCAAUUCGCAUAGCCUCAACAGAUCCACAGAUGAGACGCAAUCUCAAUUGCACUUCACACUGCCUUCUACCACCUGAAAAAAGUGGGGAAAUAACUAUGUGACAAUGCUGUUUAUAGACAGAUAUUUUCUCUUCCCCACGAGGGGCCUGUAUGAAAAAUGUAUGCACUCACUAACUGUAAGUCGCUCUGGAUAAGAACGUCUGCUAAAUGACUAAAAUGUUUUUUUUUAAAUGGACGCCUUUCAUUCUAGACAGCGCAAACACUCAUACUGGCUUUCAAUUAUAUACUACUGCCAUUUACUUUAUGUUCGUAAUCUUAUGCCUUACUAUUUCUCAUUUGUUGUUGCAUUGUCUCGAAGGAACCUGCAAGUAAGCGAUGUGUACCAUACGUAUCCCGUACAACUAAUAAAACUUGAAACUUGAUGUCCGUAAACAAACCCAUUUAGUGUUAUGUCCCAUAGUGGGCCACUAGAGGGUGCCAUCUGAUCAUGUUGUCCUCAUUGGGCGAGUUCGUUUUGCAUGGCCCGGUGCCCAAGGUAAGUGGAGAUUUAUGUUAAGGACCAAUGGAAUGGUUUAAAAUAUUAAAUUCCACUCACAUGGGGCACCGAGCCAUGCAAAACGAACUUGCCCAUUGACUAAUGUAGGCUACUGUAGUGUUGUUUUGUUGCUGGGCAAAUUACAUCACAGUCAUCUUUGAAAAACAAUUGACUUCAAGUGAAUCCAACAGGAUUAUUAGUAGUUUUCCUCUGUAUCCACGAAGGAUGAAUUUGUGUUUCAUCAUACGUUUUUAUUAACCUCUUCUCCUUUAGACAUUCGUCGGUCGUUUCCGUCGGACCAUGGAUUCUUCCCAGAAUGUCUACAACGAGGACACAUCUGCCCUGGUGGAACGCCUGGACUACCUGGAAAGGGCGCUGUUUAGGGCGGGGCAGAGUGGCCUCAACAGCUUCCAGAGCUGGGAGAGGGGCCACGCAUCAACCCUCACUGCCUCCAGCCUGGUGCUCAACUACCGCAAGAGGAAGAUCGCUGAUCUGUAGCCCUGAGGGGCAUCUCCAAAGAUACGUCCAGAAUGGCACCCUAUUCCCUUUAUAGUGCACUACUUUUUUACCAGAAGGUAGUGCACUCUAAAGGGAAUAGGGUGCCAUCUGGAACACAAUCCAACACAACAUAGGCGAGAUAGGACUGAGUUGGAAGUAGAGCAGUGGAUUAGUGUUUUUGUUAUAAAAUAUAUGUUUCAUGUGGGAAUCCGUUUUCUAAGGUUGCGUUCUGAUAUUUCUUCCACUAAUUGGUCUUUUGACCAAUCAGAUCAGCUCUGAAAAAGAUGUGAUGUGAAAGAUCUGAUGGGAUUGGUCAAAAGACCAAUUAGUGGAAAAAAUAUCCAAAUUUGACUGUGUAAACGCAGCGUCAGUAGUUUUGUGAAUGCCGUUUGUCUGUGUCUCUAUGGCUGCGUUUACACAGACAGCCCAAUUCUGAUAUUAUUCACAUCAGAUCUUUUUCAGAGCUGAUUUGAUUGGUCAAAAGACCAAUUAGUGGGGGGGAAAUCAGAAUUGGGCUGCUUGUGUAAAUGCAGCCCAUGUUACGGUGUAAGCUUGUGUGUUUGAUUUCUGAGAUUUUCACACACAUACGGUACACAAAUGUUUUUCAAAGGCUUUGUAAAUAUUUUUGGAAUCAUCUGUUUUA